GGGGGUGUGGCUCAGUGGUAGAGCACUUGCCUAGUAUGUAUGAAGCCUUGGGAUCAAAGCCUAGUACCACAC
This 72-nucleotide transfer RNA is filed under the name Ictidomys tridecemlineatus (thirteen-lined ground squirrel). RNAcentral describes it as "Spermophilus tridecemlineatus (thirteen-lined ground squirrel) tRNA". It matches the Rfam family "tRNA". Rfam says of the family: Transfer RNA (tRNA) molecules are approximately 80 nucleotides in length. Their secondary structure includes four short double-helical elements and three loops (D, anti-codon, and T loops). Further hydrogen bonds mediate the characteristic L-shaped molecular structure. tRNAs have two regions of fundamental functional importance: the anti-codon, which is responsible for specific mRNA codon recognition, and the 3' end, to which the tRNAs corresponding amino acid is attached (by aminoacyl-tRNA synthetases). tRNAs cope with the degeneracy of the genetic code in two manners: having more than one tRNA (with a specific anti-codon) for a particular amino acid; and 'wobble' base-pairing, i.e. permitting non-standard base-pairing at the 3rd anti-codon position. The record is from Rfam by way of RNAcentral. Lineage: Eukaryota; Metazoa; Chordata; Mammalia; Rodentia; Sciuridae.